UACGUAGGGGGCAAGCGUUGUCCGGAUUAUUGGGCGUAAAGGCUUGUAGGUGGCCACGCCAAGUCGGAUGUGAAAUCUCCCGGCUCAACUGGGAGGGUCAUUCGAUACUGGCGGGCUCGAGGCCCGGUAGGGGGAAGUGGAAUUCCCGGUGUAGUGGUGGAAUGCGUAGAUAUCGGGAGGAACACCAGUGGCGAAGGCGGCUCUCUGGGACGGUACGUGACGCUGAGACGCGAAGCGUGGGAGCGAC
Molecule: ribosomal RNA, 247 nt
Filed under: uncultured bacterium
Lineage: Bacteria
Description: partial 16S ribosomal RNA
Rfam family: Bacterial small subunit ribosomal RNA
Source: RNAcentral